AAAUUGAAGAGUUUGAUCAUGGCUCAGAUUGAACGCUGGCGGCAGGCCUAACACAUGCAAGUCGAACGGUAACAGGAAGAAGCUUGCUUCUUUGCUGACGAGUGGCGAACGGGUGAGUAAUGUCUGGGAAACUGCCUGAUGGAGGGGGAUAACUACUGGAAACGGUAGCUAAUACCGCAUAACGUCGCAAGACCAAAGAGGGGGACCUUCGGGCCUCUUGCCAUCGGAUGUGCCCAGAUGGGAUUAGCUAGUAGGUGGGGUAACGGCUCACCUAGGCGACGAUCCCUAGCUGGUCUGAGAGGAUGACCAGCCACACUGGAACUGAGACACGGUCCAGACUCCUACGGGAGGCAGCAGUGGGGAAUAUUGCACAAUGGGCGCAAGCCUGAUGCAGCCAUGCCGCGUGUAUGAAGAAGGCCUUCGGGUUGUAAAGUACUUUCAGCGGGGAGGAAGGGAGUAAAGUUAAUACCUUUGCUCAUUGACGUUACCCGCAGAAGAAGCACCGGCUAACUCCGUGCCAGCAGCCGCGGUAAUACGGAGGGUGCAAGCGUUAAUCGGAAUUACUGGGCGUAAAGCGCACGCAGGCGGUUUGUUAAGUCAGAUGUGAAAUCCCCGGGCUCAACCUGGGAACUGCAUCUGAUACUGGCAAGCUUGAGUCUCGUAGAGGGGGGUAGAAUUCCAGGUGUAGCGGUGAAAUGCGUAGAGAUCUGGAGGAAUACCGGUGGCGAAGGCGGCCCCCUGGACGAAGACUGACGCUCAGGUGCGAAAGCGUGGGGAGCAAACAGGAUUAGAUACCCUGGUAGUCCACGCCGUAAACGAUGUCGACUUGGAGGUUGUGCCCUUGAGGCGUGGCUUCCGGAGCUAACGCGUUAAGUCGACCGCCUGGGGAGUACGGCCGCAAGGUUAAAACUCAAAUGAAUUGACGGGGGCCCGCACAAGCGGUGGAGCAUGUGGUUUAAUUCGAUGCAACGCGAAGAACCUUACCUGGUCUUGACAUCCACAGAACUUUCCAGAGAUGGAUUGGUGCCUUCGGGAACUGUGAGACAGGUGCUGCAUGGCUGUCGUCAGCUCGUGUUGUGAAAUGUUGGGUUAAGUCCCGCAACGAGCGCAACCCUUAUCCUUUGUUGCCAGCGGUCCGGCCGGGAACUCAAAGGAGACUGCCAGUGAUAAACUGGAGGAAGGUGGGGAUGACGUCAAGUCAUCAUGGCCCUUACGACCAGGGCUACACACGUGCUACAAUGGCGCAUACAAAGAGAAGCGACCUCGCGAGAGCAAGCGGACCUCAUAAAGUGCGUCGUAGUCCGGAUUGGAGUCUGCAACUCGACUCCAUGAAGUCGGAAUCGCUAGUAAUCGUGGAUCAGAAUGCCACGGUGAAUACGUUCCCGGGCCUUGUACACACCGCCCGUCACACCAUGGGAGUGGGUUGCAAAAGAAGUAGGUAGCUUAACCUUCGGGAGGGCGCUUACCACUUUGUGAUUCAUGACUGGGGUGAAGUCGUAACAAGGUAACCGUAGGGGAACCUGCGGUUGGAUCACCUCCUUACCUUAAAGAAGC
RNAcentral lists this ribosomal RNA (1554 nucleotides) under Escherichia coli. RNAcentral describes it as "bacterial SSU rRNA". It matches the Rfam family "Bacterial small subunit ribosomal RNA". The record is from RNAcentral. Lineage: Bacteria; Pseudomonadati; Pseudomonadota; Gammaproteobacteria; Enterobacterales; Enterobacteriaceae.